AAAAGAAAUCAACCGAGAUUCCGAAAGUAGCGGCGAGCGAAAUUGGACUAGCCCUUAAGCUUUACACGCGUUAGACGAACGGUCUGGAAAGUCCGACGAUACAGGGUGAUAGUCCCGUAGUUGACGACGUGUGUUCAGUGAAAUCGAGUAGGGCGGGACACGUGAUAUCCUGUCUGAAUAUGGGGGGACCAUCCUCCAAGGCUAAAUACUACUGACUGACCGAUAGUGAACCAGUACCGUGAGGGAAAGGCGAAAAGAACCCCUGUGAGGGGAGUGAAAUAGAACCUGAAACCGUGUACGUACAAGCA
RNAcentral lists this ribosomal RNA (308 nucleotides) under Vibrio parahaemolyticus. RNAcentral describes it as "partial 23S ribosomal RNA". It matches the Rfam family "Bacterial large subunit ribosomal RNA", at positions 217 to 572 of the family's 2925-position model. Lineage: Bacteria; Pseudomonadati; Pseudomonadota; Gammaproteobacteria; Vibrionales; Vibrionaceae. The record is from RNAcentral.